RNAcentral lists this ribosomal RNA (253 nucleotides) under uncultured bacterium. Its description in RNAcentral is "partial 16S ribosomal RNA". It matches the Rfam family "Bacterial small subunit ribosomal RNA", at positions 524 to 776 of the family's 1533-position model. The record is from RNAcentral.
UACGUAGGGACCAAGCGUUGUCCGGAAUCAUUGGGCGUAAAGAGCGUGUAGGCGGCCCGGUAAGUCCGCUGUGAAAGUCGGGGGCUCAACCCUCGAAUGCCGGUGGAUACUGUCGGGCUAGAGUGCGGAAGAGGCGAGUGGAAUUCCUGGUGUAGCGGUGAAAUGCGCAGAUAUCAGGAGGAACACCAAUUGCGAAGGCAGCUCGCUGGGACGUAACUGACGCUGAGACGCGAAAGCGUGGGGAGCAAACAGG